RNAcentral lists this ribosomal RNA (503 nucleotides) under uncultured bacterium. Its description in RNAcentral is "partial 16S ribosomal RNA". It matches the Rfam family "Bacterial small subunit ribosomal RNA", at positions 30 to 523 of the family's 1533-position model. The record is from RNAcentral.
AUUGAACGCUGGCGGCAGGCUUAACACAUGCAAGUCGAGCGGGGUGAUGGUGCUUGCACUAUCACUUAGCGGCGGACGGGUGAGUAAUGCUUAGGAAUCUGCCUAUUAGUGGGGGACAACAUCUCGAAAGGGAUGCUAAUACCGCAUACGUCCUACGGGAGAAAGCAGGGGAUCACUUGUGACCUUGCGCUAAUAGAUGAGCCUAAGUCGGAUUAGCUAGUUGGUGGGGUAAAGGCCUACCAAGGCGACGAUCUGUAGCGGGUCUGAGAGGAUGAUCCGCCACACUGGGACUGAGACACGGCCCAGACUCCUACGGGAGGCAGCAGUUGGGAAUAUUGUACAAUGGGGGGAACCCUGAUCCAGCCAUGCCGCGUGUGUGAAGAAGGCCUUAUGGUUGUAAAACACUUUAAGCGAGGAGGAGGCUCUUUUGGUUAAUACCCAAGAUGAGUGGACGUUACUCGCAGAAUAAGCACCGGCUAACUCUGUGCCAGCAGCCGCAGUAA